RNAcentral lists this ribosomal RNA (305 nucleotides) under uncultured Desulfobulbus sp. RNAcentral's name for it is "bacterial SSU rRNA". It matches the Rfam family "Bacterial small subunit ribosomal RNA", at positions 1077 to 1382 of the family's 1533-position model. The record is from RNAcentral. Lineage: Bacteria; Pseudomonadati; Thermodesulfobacteriota; Desulfobulbia; Desulfobulbales; Desulfobulbaceae.
GGGUUAAGUCCCGCAACGAGCGCAACCCUUGCCUUUAGUUGCCAGCAGUUCGGCUGGGCACUCUAAAGGGACUGCCGGUGUUAAACCGGAGGAAGGUGGGGAUGACGUCAAGUCCUCAUGGCCUUUAUGACCAGGGCUACACACGUACUACAAUGGCCGAUACAAAGGGCAGCGACACUGCGAGGUGAAGCCAAUCCCGUAAAAUCGGUCUCAGUCCGGAUUGGAGUCUGCAACUCGACUCCAUGAAGUUGGAAUCGCUAGUAAUCGUGGAUCAGCAUGCCACGGUGAAUACGUUCCCGGGCCUU